Long non-coding RNA from Solanum pennellii, 478 nucleotides. RefSeq lists it as uncharacterized. Lineage: Eukaryota; Viridiplantae; Streptophyta; Magnoliopsida; Solanales; Solanaceae. The transcript has 4 exons. The record is from RefSeq and is a predicted model, not a curated record.
AAAUUCCCAUUUUUUUAAAAAGAAGACCCUCUCCAAGUCCCACCCGCAUAAGAAAAUCACUAGUAACCUAGAAGUCGAGGACUAAUAUUCCAUCAGAGGGAGAUAUCAAGCAAGUAUCAGCGACGUCCAUGACAAAGUAUUUAGGGUCUUGAUGAGAUUGAGUUGUUUUUAAGGGUAGAGUUUCCAAGGCUUUCAAGAAGUGAAGAUUGGUUCGGGACAUUAAAGGGUAUGAGGCCACUUUGAAGGAAGGCUUGGACAUAUUUCCCAAGGGUCUUGAGGAGAUUGAGUUUCUUUAAUGGGUAGAGUUUCCAAGGCUUUCAAGAAGUGAAGAUUGGUGAGUCCUCAUAGCAUCCGAGGACACCCAUUAUAAUGUCUUUUAUGUUCUUUUCUCUGUUUAGACUUUAAUGGGUUGUGACCCCAGACUAUUGUAUUCAUGAUGUCAUAGAUGGUUUUUGAGACAUAUGUUAGAAGUUUUAUG